UACGUAGGGGGCUAGCGUUGUCCGGAUUUAUUGGGCGUAAAGCGCACGCAGGCGGCUCUUCAAGUCUGACGUGAAAUCUCUCGGCUUAACCGGGAGCGGUCGUUGGAAACUGAAGGGCUUGAGGCGAUGAGAGGGGUGUGGAAUUCCCGGUGUAGUGGUGGAAUGCGUAGAUAUCGGGAGGAACAUCAGUGGCGAAAGCGGCACCCUGGCAUUAGCCUGACGCUCAUGUGCGAAAGCGUGGGGAGCGAACGGG
RNAcentral lists this ribosomal RNA (253 nucleotides) under uncultured bacterium. RNAcentral describes it as "partial 16S ribosomal RNA". It matches the Rfam family "Bacterial small subunit ribosomal RNA", at positions 524 to 776 of the family's 1533-position model. The record is from RNAcentral.